This 710-nucleotide ribosomal RNA is filed under the name uncultured Bacilli bacterium. RNAcentral's name for it is "bacterial SSU rRNA". It matches the Rfam family "Bacterial small subunit ribosomal RNA", at positions 59 to 740 of the family's 1533-position model. Lineage: Bacteria; Bacillati; Bacillota; Bacilli. The record is from RNAcentral.
AAGUCGAACGCUUCUUUCCUCCCGAGUGCUUGCACUCAAUUGGAAAGAGGAGUGGCGGACGGGUGAGUAACACGUGGGUAACCUACCCAUCAGAGGGGGAUAACACUUGGAAACAGGUGCUAAUACCGCAUAACAGUUUAUGCCGCAUGGCAUAAGAGUAAAAGGCGCUUUCGGGUGUCGCUGAUGGAUGGACCCGCGGUGCAUUAGCUAGUUGGUGAGGUAACGGCUCACCAAGGCCACGAUGCAUAGCCGACCUGAGAGGGUGAUCGGCCACACUGGGACUGAGACACGGCCCAGACUCCUACGGGAGGCAGCAGUAGGGAAUCUUCGGCAAUGGACGAAAGUCUGACCGAGCAACGCCGCGUGAGUGAAGAAGGUUUUCGGAUCGUAAAACUCUGUUGUUAGAGAAGAACAAGGACGUUAGUAACUGAACGUCCCCUGACGGUAUCUAACCAGAAAGUCGCGGCUAACUACGUGCCAGCAGCCGCGGUAAUACGUAGGUGGCAAGCGUUGUCCGGAUUUAUUGGGCGUAAAGCGAGCGCAGGCGGUUUCUUAAGUCUGAUGUGAAAGCCCCCGGCUCAACCGGGGAGGGUCAUUGGAAACUGGGAGACUUGAGUGCAGAAGAGGAGAGUGGAAUUCCAUGUGUAGCGGUGAAAUGCGUAGAUAUAUGGAGGAACACCAGUGGCGAAGGCGGCUCUCUGGUCUGUAAC